AGCUAGUCUAACCUUCGGGAGGACGGUUACCACGGUGUGAUUCAUGACUGGGGUGAAGUCGUAACAAGGUAGCCGUAGGGGAACCUGCGGCUGGAUCACUCCUUAAUCGACGACA
RNAcentral lists this ribosomal RNA (115 nucleotides) under Pseudomonas brenneri. RNAcentral's name for it is "partial 16S ribosomal RNA". It matches the Rfam family "Bacterial small subunit ribosomal RNA", at positions 1428 to 1533 of the family's 1533-position model. Lineage: Bacteria; Pseudomonadati; Pseudomonadota; Gammaproteobacteria; Pseudomonadales; Pseudomonadaceae. The record is from RNAcentral.